Molecule: ribosomal RNA, 591 nt
Filed under: uncultured bacterium
Lineage: Bacteria
Description: bacterial SSU rRNA
Rfam family: Bacterial small subunit ribosomal RNA
Source: RNAcentral
AUCCUGGCUCAGAUUGAACGCUGGCGGCAGGCUUAACACAUGCAAGUCGAGCGGAGAGAGGUAGCUUGCUACUGAUCUUAGCGGCGGACGGGUGAGUAAUACUUAGGAAUCUGGCUAUUAGUGGGGGACAACAUUUCGAAAGGGAUGCUAAUACCGCAUACGUCCUACGGGAGAAAGCAGGGGAUCUUCGGACCUUGCGCUAAUAGAUGAGCCUAAGUCGGAUUAGCUAGUUGGUGGGGUAAAGGCCUACCAAGGCGACGAUCUGUAGCGGGUCCGAGAGGAUGAUCCGCCACACUGGGACUGAGACACGGCCCAGACUCCUACGGGAGGCAGCAGUGGGGAAUAUUGGACAAUGGGGGGAACCCUGAUCCAGCCAUGCCGCGUGUGUGAAGAAGGCCUUAUGGUUGUAAAGCACUUUAAGCGAGGAGGAGGGUACUGGUAUUAAUACUACCAGGUACUGGACGUUACUCGCAGAAUAAGCACCGGCUAACUCUGUGCCAGCAGCCGCGGUAAUACAGAGGGUGCGAGCGUUAAUCGGAUUUACUGGGCGUAAAGCGUGCGUAGGCGGCUAAUUGAGUCGGAUGUGAAAUC